This 430-nucleotide long non-coding RNA is filed under the name Triticum aestivum (bread wheat). RNAcentral describes it as "long non-coding RNA (TAES_LNC023611)". The record is from RNAcentral. Lineage: Eukaryota; Viridiplantae; Streptophyta; Magnoliopsida; Poales; Poaceae.
GUGGAGCGGGCUGGACGACGCUGAAGUAGUCAUCUUCGUCGGCCCCGUCACUGCGUACGCAUACUCCUUCAAUUUUUCCCUCCUACUGGUACAUAUUCUUCCCAAGUUCCACUCCAUUGCUAAUUCUGAAAUUUUGUUUGCUUAAUUCGAAUCUGAAAUUAUUUUUCCUUGAUUUGAUAUCUUACAUUGCAUUCUAAUUAUUUAUGUUGCUGCUUGCAUCACUUUUUCAGGUGUUGUGAUCUGGAGAAGCUCAAGUAGUCAUCUUCGUCCAUCACGUCACUGCAUACGCAUAUGCCUCUGAUUUUUGACUCCUGGUACAUACUCUUCCCAAGUUCCCCUUGGUGCCUAAUUCUGUAUUUUUUUGCUUAAUUCAAAUCUGAAUUAAUAAUUCAGAUUUUUUGUUUCCUUGAUUGAAAUCUGAAUUAAAUUU